Non-coding RNA from Ictidomys tridecemlineatus (thirteen-lined ground squirrel), 3105 nucleotides. NCBI's taxonomy places the organism in Eukaryota, Metazoa, Chordata, Mammalia, Rodentia, Sciuridae. The record is from RefSeq and is a predicted model, not a curated record.
GCGCUCGCCUGGUUCUCGAGGCCUUCUGCGGCAGAUGCGGAGGAACAGCAGGGAGCGGGCGGGGCCGCCGCUGAGGAUGCGGCGGACGAGGCAGAGGCCGAGAUCAUUCAGCUGCUGAAGCGAGCCAAGUUGAGCAUCAUGAAAGAUGAACCAGAAGAGGCUGAGCUAAUAUUGCAUGAUGCUCUUCGCCUUGCCUAUCAGAGCGAUAACCUGAAAGCCAUCACUUACACUUAUGAUUUGAUGGCCAACUUAGCGUUUAUACGGGGCCAACUAGAAAAUGCAGAACAACUUUUUAAAGCAACAAUGAGUUAUCUGCUUGGAGGGGGCAUGAAGCAGGAAGACAAUGCAAUAAUUGAAAUCUCCCUAAAACUGGCCAGUAUCUAUGCUGCUCAGAAUAGACAAGAAUUUGCUCUCGCUGGCUAUGAAUUCUGCAUUUCAACUUUAGAGGAAAAAAUUGAACGAGAAAAGGAAUUAUCAGAAGAUGUUAUGUCAGCGGAAGAAAAAGCCAAUACCCACCUCCUUCUGGGCAUGUGCUUAGACUCCUGUGCACGCUACCUUCUGUUCUCCAAGCAGCCAUCACAGGCACAAAGGAUGUAUGAAAAAGCUCUGCAGAUUUCUGAAGAAAUACAAGGAGAAAGACACCCACAGACCAUUGUGCUCAUGAGUGACCUGGCUACUACUCUGGACGCACAGGGCCACUUUGAUGAGGCCUAUAUUUAUAUGCAAAGGGCAUCAGAUCUGGCAAGACAGAUAAAUCAUCCUGAGCUGCACAUGGUACUCAGUAACCUAGCUGCAAUUUUGAUACACAGAGAACGAUAUACACAAGCAGAAGAGAUCUACCAGGAAGCACUGAAGCAAGCAGAGAUGAAAAGAGAUGAGGUUUCUGUACAGCACAUCAGGGAAGAAUUGGCUGAGCUGUCAAGAAAAAGUAGAUCUUUGACUUAAUAUUAUCAAGUGUUAAACCCAUUUUUUUUUUUUUUGUAGGGAGGGUAGUUUCUAGUGGCCUAAAGGAAUAACUAUUAUUCUAGUGUCUGUGGCACCCAAAUCAAUGGUGUAAAUUUUCUGUUCUUGAUAUUCAGGUUUCCUCAACUUAGCCUUGGUGAAGGACAAGUUGUACAUACUGCCACAUUUGUUUUUAAAGGAAAAACAACUUUCACCCUUCACUAAUUAUGACCUCUAAGGAUUGAUGUCAAAUGAUGCUUUCCAUUGUAUUAUAUGGAUAGGUGCUGUCCAUGCUGGUCUAAGUGUAAUUAUAGAUUAAGAUGGGCUACUUUUCCUCUGGGUUGUGGGUGUGGGGGUCUGGUAAUUAUGCCUAACAUCGCUACCGAAAGAUUUUUGGUUCACUGAUUUGCUGCCCUUUCUUCUUUUACUUUGUCAAUAUCUGGCAGACCAGAGCUACUCAUGGCAAAGGGAAAUUAUGUGAGAGCUUUUGCUUGAAGAUAACAGAAGAAAAUAAACCUAAAAACUGAAAUACUGCUGAACUUCAGAUGUGCCUGGAAUAAUGCUUCUCCAGUAGCAGCAGCAGCAGCACUACUUUCUAGAUGAUGUGAUCCAUAUGGCUUAAGCUUACACUGUGCCUGUCGUUUUUUCUUACAAUUGGAAGUCACUUUUAUUAAAAAACAUGUAUGCUUCUGUCAUGAUAAUGUACAGGGGGCAAGACAAAGACUACAGGGUCAAGUGGAGACCAUACCAAGGUGGAACAGUUCCCAACUGGCUGCUCUGAGAUCUACAUCUCCAUGCUUUGACAGGUUAAUCUUUGAAUUCUGACAGGAUUUCAACAUGAAGGUAGUUGGUGACAUUUGAGAAGCUAUAAAUAACAGAUGAGACUAUUGAAGCUUUGAGAUAGAAAACUGUAAUGAUAAUAUUAAAAGGGGGAUAUGGUACCUAUAGGGCUGACAGUAGUUCUGGUUGGCAUUAUCUUUGAGAUGAUUUGUUGCCAUUAAAAAAAAAAAGAAUCUAAUAAUUAAAAGCCAGGAUAAAUUCACAUGGAAGUGAUAUUGGGCUCAUCCUUUUUUCUCUUUGACAUUCAACGGUUAAUCACAAAGUGAGACAGAUCCAAACACACAUACACCUGGCAGUUCACAGUUCAGAGCCAACAGUUUCCUUUCUUUUGGCAGUGUCAGGAGACCGGUAGAUGGUAGAUGGCAGAAACAGAGCAAACGGAGGUCUAUACAGAUUCUACCACAGGAUGGAAAUGACGGAUAAGUAAGACUGGGUGAUAGUACAAGUGAGCGUGCUGCGUGACCAAGUGCAGGAGGGUUCUGAUGAAUGCAUGCACAUCAGCCCAAAGGAAAGUUCUGCCAUAGAGUUUCAUUGGAUAUUUAACCACAAUCUGGCUAAGGAUGCUGUGAGUAUAGAACUGUUAGAAGCCUGUUAGUACAUCACUGGAAGCAUAGACUCUGGAGUUGGAAUGCCUGAGUUUAAAACCACAGCCCCAUUACUUACUAGUUAUGUAACCUGCGCCCGUUAUUAAACCUCUCUGAGUCUCAGUUUUCUCAUCUACAAAAUGGAGAUAAUUAUAUGUAGCAUGUGGGUUUGUGAGGAUUAACUGAAUUCAUAUAUACAUACAUAUGUAGAAUAGUGCCUAGCACACAUUACUAGUCUCCCUUCGUUACAAUUAUUAUUGAUGAUGUUAUACGGUAAGUCUACCAGAGUUGCAUAUAAAUGCUGAAUGUCCAGAGAGACCCUGGUGGGAUAGAGAAAGUAGCUGGAAGGGAGCAAGCAUAGAUUGCCUUGAGAAGGGGAAAGGUGUGAUUUAAAAGUAGCCCACUAAGAGAACUUGAAACCUAUAUUCAUACUUUGUGUAUUUAUAACUUCAGUGUUUAGACUGCCAACAAAAAUGGUGAUAAGAUCUUAGGCUACCUUAAUAACAAUGAAUUUACUCUAGAUCUAAUCACACUAUUUUGUGGAGAGCAACUGAGAUAGCAGGGUUACUCAGAACAAGGAUGUGAAAAACAAUCAAUGAAACUAGGAAUAUUUACAGACUCACAAAGGACAUGACUUCAGAUAGUCUUUACCUAUCUGAAGACAUGGUGUAUGGAGAUGGCCCAAAAAGAAAAAACUAAAAUCAGUGACUUAAAAACAAACCCCCACAACUGUCCAAAC